Molecule: ribosomal RNA, 495 nt
Filed under: uncultured bacterium
Lineage: Bacteria
Description: partial 16S ribosomal RNA
Rfam family: Bacterial small subunit ribosomal RNA
Source: RNAcentral
GACGAACGCUGGCGGCGUGCCUAAUACAUGCAAGUAGAACGCUGAAGGAGGAGCUUGCUCUUCUGGAUGAGUUGCGAACGGGUGAGUAACGCGUAGGUAACCUGCCUGGUAGCGGGGGAUAACUAUUGGAAACGAUAGCUAAUACCGCAUAAGAGUAGAUGUUGCAUGACAUUUGCUUAAAAGGUGCAAUUGCAUCACUACCAGAUGGACCUGCGUUGUAUUAGCUAGUUGGUGGGGUAACGGCUCACCAAGGCGACGAUACAUAGCCGACCUGAGAGGGGGAACGGCCACACUGGGACUGAGACACGGCCCAGACUCCUACGGGAGGCAGCAGUAGGGAAUCUUCGGCAAUGGACGGAAGUCUGACCGAGCAACGCCGGGUGAGUGAAGAAGGGUUUCGGAUCGUAAAGCUCUGUUGUAAGGGAAGAACGAGUGUGAGAGUGGAAAGUUCACACUGUGACGGUAUCUUACCAGAAAGGGACGGCUAACUACGUG